UUUGAUGAGGCGCAUUAAACAUGAGUAAAUAUUAGGCAACUGUCUGCUAACAGCUAAUAUUGAAAGGGGGCAAUGCCGAAACGAAUGAUAAUAGCAGGUAUCAUUUGUUGGACUUUUUGGUUAAGAGCUAAGAGUUUGUCAUUAUUUCAUAAUAAUGGAGUGCAUC
This 166-nucleotide non-coding RNA is filed under the name Staphylococcus warneri. RNAcentral describes it as "Lysine riboswitch". It matches the Rfam family "Lysine riboswitch aptamer". Rfam says of the family: Riboswitches are metabolite binding domains within certain messenger RNAs that serve as precision sensors for their corresponding targets. Allosteric rearrangement of mRNA structure is mediated by ligand binding, and this results in modulation of gene expression. The record is from RNAcentral. Lineage: Bacteria; Bacillati; Bacillota; Bacilli; Caryophanales; Staphylococcaceae.